UUAUUGUAUCUUUUUUGGUGGCAAUUUAGUCACUUCGAGAAGUAAGAAGCAGAAUGUAACAGCAAGAUCUAGAGCAGAGGCAGAAUUCAGAGCUAUGGCACAGUGUAUUUGCAAGUUAUUAUGGGUGCAGAAAAUGAUGGGGGAAAUGAGACUAUCAGAAGCAAACAGUUUGUCAUUGUUUUGUGACAACAAAGCUGAUAUCAGUAUAAUUCAUAAUCCAGUUCAACAUGAUCAAACCGAACACAUAGAGAAUGAUCGACACUUCAUAAAGGAAAA
Molecule: unclassified non-coding RNA, 276 nt
Filed under: Hevea brasiliensis (rubber tree)
Lineage: Eukaryota; Viridiplantae; Streptophyta; Magnoliopsida; Malpighiales; Euphorbiaceae
Source: RNAcentral